UAUUCCUGGCUACGCCCCUGAGCGAGAGAGAGAAGAUGAUGAAAACAUCAAUGGCUUCCCUAAGGUCAUUCUCUGCGAGGUUUGUGGUUGCUCCGCUGAGGUCUAUUGUUCAGUUAAGGUUUGUCGGAACCACAAGCAAAGAGAGAUAGGCCGUAUCCCCGUAACCGAAGCUAAGAGAAAGUAAGGACCUACAAUCAAGGAUGUUGGGAAAGGUAGAGAUAGAGUUAUUUUCUAUAUUUUGCUCCCAUGUCUUGCUGCUUGCUUUGUUGUAUAUGUUCUUCCCGUUGGUUGUGCAGGGUGAAUGGGAAAAGGAGCUACCUUUGUUGGGUUUCUUGGUUCAAUAAGAAAAAGGAGGAAGCUUUAUACGUUUUUGGUCGUGCUUUCCUUGGGUUUCUUUGAGAGGUUGGUUUGACUGUUGUGGAGAGUUGUUGGUGGUCUUUUUGGGUUAGGAAAGGAUUCUGUUUAUGGAGUUAUAGAGGGCUGGAACAGUGGUACUUUUUGUAUUUGUUAUGUUACUUUUUUUCUUUUCUAUCUCAUUUGUCUAUAUUGAAUUGUGCUUAAGAACAGCCAAUGCUAUUGCCCAUUGUAUCUAGAUAUACAAAUUACUUUGUUAUAUACUACAGAAUAUGAGUAGCAAGAUAGAGUUACAAAAAAUUGCCCCCUUUUGUAAAAUAUGUUACUAUCUAAUUUUAUAAAGAACAUUUUUCUACCAUUGAGUUGGCUUAUCAGACUUGGAAUAUAUGUAGUUUGUUUUAAAUCUAACCUACAUAUGUAAAGGGUUUGUGAUGUUUCCUUCCUUAGAGGUAUAGAGUAUGGGUAUGUACACUUUAUAUGAAACUGUAAUUUGUCUUUACACAAAUUUUACUAUUAAUAGAAAAUUUCCUACUACGAUUGUUUAAAUAUGAGCUAUGAAAACAAGUUUGAGUAAAAAGUGAAGAAGAGGAUUAAUUUUUUUUUAAUAAUUUGAUAAUUCAAGAAGAGGGUGUUUGAACCUAACAAAUAUAACAAUGAUGUUAUAUAGAUUUUGUAGAUAUUCUUUGUGCUUUCCCGUGCAUCGCACGGGUUAGCGACUAGUUAGGGUUUGGUUUACGUUCAGUACUUUAUAUAUUCUUGGGUAAACUAUGUAAUUUGUCCCUAUCUUAUACAUUAUAUUUCAAUUUGAUCCCUAACCUUUUAAUUGUGUUAAUUUGGUUCCCAACAUUUUAGUAUUAUGUCAAUUUAGUUUCUACCGUUAUCUUUUGAAUGAAAAUUUAUGACGUAUCUAAUCGUCAAAACAAAAAAUUAGCUUACGUUGAUGAGACAAUAAACUUAAAUUUAAUUUUGGUCGUUUGUCAUGUUAGCAAUUUUCAUCUAAGAUAUAACAUCAGGAACUAAAUUGACACGACAUUGCAAGGUUAGGGAUCAAAUUGAAACAAUUGAAAGGUAAGGGAUUAAAUUGAAAUAUGGUGUAAAGAAUAAGGACCAAAUAUGUAGUUUACCCUAUAUUCUUUUAUUUUAAGAGUUAUUCUAUGGUACUUCAUAUUGUUUUAGUGGCUAUGGUACCCACUCAAAUCUUGACCAUUAAAUCUAAUAGUUUUUAAUCUUGAUUGUUUAUAUUCAAUUUAAGUGGAUACCAAUUAGUUAUCGAGAAGGCAAGUUAACAUAUAUAAAUGGUCUUAGUUUUUAUUUUAAAUGCUUGUUAAUUGCAUAUUACUGCUGCCCCCCUCUAUUUGCGUGCUCUUGGUUUGUUUUGUUUCCUCUUUCUCUUUCAUUAGUUUUAUUUCAAAGCAAUUGAUUGCAUAAGAUUCAAUAUUUGAGUAAUUCUAAGUGGAUUGGACUGAGACCUUGUGAAAAAUCAGUAGCAAUUACCAUUUAAUUGCUUUUUGUUUUAGAACCCUGAUUUAGUUACCAUGGUUUUUGAGUGGAGUUGUGGUGUGUUUUUCUGUUAGAACUUCUUUUCCUCUCUCUUGUGUGUGUAUUUAUUUCUUAAAAAAAAAAAAAUUUUGCUUUUUGUUUUGGUGGGUUAAUUUUGAAACUAUCCUUACUGGACUGGACUAAAUACCUUGAUAAAAAUCUACCUUAUUAGUCAAAUCCUUUAUGGAUGUGUUUAUUAAAUAAGUUAUAAUUUUUGCUUAUUAUGUUCUAUGUAUUGCUUCUGUAAAUGAGUCCAAACACUUAUAACAUAUUCUUUUAAAAAUAAUUACUAAUUUUAACAACUUAACUUAUCAGUAUGAAUAAUUUUCUCUUUGUUUCCUUUCCAAUGUCAUCUUGUGCUAGGAUUGAUUUCUUAAACCAUUAAGGUAAAAAUUAUAUACAUAAGAAUCAGUGAUGAAUCACAUGUACAUACAAUUGAAGUCCAUGUAAAAAGAUAACAUCUAGAAUGCAUAUGCACAUACAAUUGAAGUCAAUGUAACAAGAUCAAGCUCUAAAAUAGAGCUGAAACACUGUUAUGCAUCCACAAUCAUUUACAUUAUUACUCAACUUUCUGAUGGUAAGAAACUUCUCAAAGGUUAAUUAUAUCCCUUUUUUAAGCAUGUUGUUGUUUACUUGAUUUUUAUUUUUUAUAAUAAACUUAUUAUAUAUGAUUUUGAACUUGAUAUUGUCAGGUUGAGCUAGAUAAGCUAAAGUUCUCAAGUAAUUAUAGUUAUUUAAAUAAUAACUAAAUAUCUAAGGCUCUAUGCAAAGAGAUAUGCUCCUAACGAACAUCUUUGUCUUUUUAAAGCACUAAUAGUUAUACCAUUCAACUACAUAUGUGAUGCAGUGCAAGGGGCACAACCAACAACUUUUACAAAGCUAGGACAGCACACAAUACCCCAAAUUAACACACAGCUUUGUUUAGGAUGGACCCUUUCAUUUUGCUGCUACCUGCCAUUUUGCUUCUAAUGAGUUGCGGGUUUAAUUUGUUACUUUUUGAAUUGUUAGGGUUUAAUGCUUUUGAAACUAUAAAUUUUAAUUUGUUACAUUUCUAACUACUGGAUUUAAAAUAUAACUAUUUAAUCAUUUUUCUUUCUUUCUUUAUAUAUAUUGAUUAUAGAGAGCCCAGGACCUGAGCUGAAGCAUGCGAAUUUGCAAGGCACAGCGGCAAAGAUUUACAAUCCCAAAUGACCUCGUAGAAGACUCAAGAACAUACUUUCAAGACUACCAGUGAAGUCUCUCAUCCGAUUCAAGUGCGUAUCCAAAGCAUGGCACACUUUGAUCAGUCGCCAAUUCGCUAAAUCCCAUUUUCAGAGAGCAUCUCAAAAACCCAGCAUGAACGUCCUUGUUUUUAGUAACAAUUGUGGUUUAUCGUUAGGUUAUGAAACACCAUUUCAAACCCGUGCUCUUGGUCAACCAGUUGAUGUUGAU
Long non-coding RNA from Quercus robur (English oak), 3324 nucleotides. RefSeq lists it as uncharacterized. The transcript is spliced from 3 exons. The record is from RefSeq and is a predicted model, not a curated record. Lineage: Eukaryota; Viridiplantae; Streptophyta; Magnoliopsida; Fagales; Fagaceae.